This 500-nucleotide ribosomal RNA is filed under the name uncultured bacterium. Its description in RNAcentral is "partial 16S ribosomal RNA". It matches the Rfam family "Bacterial small subunit ribosomal RNA", at positions 30 to 523 of the family's 1533-position model. The record is from RNAcentral.
AUUGAACGCUGGCGGAAUGCUUUACACAUGCAAGUCGAACGGCAGCACGGACUUCGGUCUGGUGGCGAGUGGCGAACGGGUGAGUAAUGUAUCGGAACGUGCCCAGUCGUGGGGGAUAACGUAGUGAAAAUUACGCUAAUACCGCAUACGAUCUAUGGAUGAAAGCGGGGGAUCGCAAGACCUCGCGCGAUUGGAGCGGCCGAUAUCAGAUUAGGUAGUUGGUGGGGUAAAGGCCCACCAAGCCAACGAUCUGUAGCUGGUCUGAGAGGACGACCAGCAACACGGGGACUGGGACACGGUCCAGACUCCUACGGGAGGCAGCAGUGGGGAAUUUUGGACAAUGGGCGAAAGCCUGAUCCAGCCAUUCCGCGUGCAGGAUGAAGGCCCUCGGGUUGUAAACUGCUUUUGUACAGAACGAAAAGGUUUCUACUAAUACUAGGAGCUCAUGACGGUACUGUAAGAAUAAGCACCGGCUAACUACGUGCCAGCAGCCGCCGCAG